RNAcentral lists this transfer RNA (72 nucleotides) under Trichonephila inaurata madagascariensis. It matches the Rfam family "tRNA". Rfam says of the family: Transfer RNA (tRNA) molecules are approximately 80 nucleotides in length. Their secondary structure includes four short double-helical elements and three loops (D, anti-codon, and T loops). The record is from Rfam by way of RNAcentral. Lineage: Eukaryota; Metazoa; Arthropoda; Arachnida; Araneae; Nephilidae.
GGUUCCGAGUGUAGUGGUUAUCACGUUCGCUUCACACGCGAAAGGUCUCCGGUUCGAUCCCGGGUGGAACCA